This 521-nucleotide long non-coding RNA is filed under the name Rattus norvegicus (Norway rat). Its description in RNAcentral is "long non-coding RNA NONRATT002316". Lineage: Eukaryota; Metazoa; Chordata; Mammalia; Rodentia; Muridae. The record is from RNAcentral.
AUGUUUUGCAUUCUAAGGGGAAUAAAUUAUGAGGCUUUUAACUAGUACAGAGGAGAGGCACCCCCAUGUCUAUGGUAUAUUUGGGGCAAGAAGGGGAAAAUGUCAGAAUGGAUCCAGCAAGAAUUCUGGAUCAUGGAUAACAGGGUUAAGAAACCAAGGGAUGAGGCUGAAGAGGUGGCUCGGCCUUAAGAGUACUGACAGAGAAGCCUUUCGGAAAGUCUUUUAAUAGGAACAGACUGGAAGUCCCCACUCUCACCCCAUACUACAAUUCCCAAGUCCUUUUAGCCCCUUACCAUGGUAUCAUCUCUUUCUUUACACCCUGACCACCAUGGGUGUCAUCAGCUAACCCUGCCUCAGAAUUGCCCAGGACUAAGCAAGAAGCUGUUCAGUUCCCAGCAUCCACAUGGAGGCUCACAACCAUCUGUAACUCCACUUCUAGAUGAUCUGACCCUCACUCCUGGCCUCCAUGGACACUGACAUGGUGAACAUACAUGCAGGCUCUCACAUAACACAGAAAGAAA